UAGAGUUUUAUCCUGGCUCAGAUUGAACGCUGGCGGCAGGCCUAACACAUGCAAGUCGAGCGGUAGAGAGAAGCUUGCUUCUCUUGAGAGCGGCGGACGGGUGAGUAAUGCCUAGGAAUCUGCCUGGUAGUGGGGGAUAACGUUCGGAAACGGACGCUAAUACCGCAUACGUCCUACGGGAGAAAGCAGGGGACCUUCGGGCCUUGCGCUAUCAGAUGAGCCUAGGUCGGAUUAGCUAGUUGGUGAGGUAAUGGCUCACCAAGGCGACGAUCCGUAACUGGUCUGAGAGGAUGAUCAGUCACACUGGAACUGAGACACGGUCCAGACUCCUACGGGAGGCAGCAGUGGGGAAUAUUGGACAAUGGGCGAAAGCCUGAUCCAGCCAUGCCGCGUGUGUGAAGAAGGUCUUCGGAUUGUAAAGCACUUUAAGUUGGGAGGAAGGGUUGUAGAUUAAUACUCUGCAAUUUUGACGUUACCGACAGAAUAAGCACCGGCUAACUCUGUGCCAGCAGCCGCGGUAAUACAGAGGGUGCAAGCGUUAAUCGGAAUUACUGGGCGUAAAGCGCGCGUAGGUGGUUUGUUAAGUUGGAUGUGAAAUCCCCGGGCUCAACCUGGGAACUGCAUUCAAAACUGACUGACUAGAGUAUGGUAGAGGGUGGUGGAAUUUCCUGUGUAGCGGUGAAAUGCGUAGAUAUAGGAAGGAACACCAGUGGCGAAGGCGACCACCGGACUAAUACGACACGAGGGCGAAAGCUUGAGCCACCC
This 765-nucleotide ribosomal RNA is filed under the name Pseudomonas azotoformans. RNAcentral describes it as "bacterial SSU rRNA". It matches the Rfam family "Bacterial small subunit ribosomal RNA", at positions 1 to 771 of the family's 1533-position model. The record is from RNAcentral. Lineage: Bacteria; Pseudomonadati; Pseudomonadota; Gammaproteobacteria; Pseudomonadales; Pseudomonadaceae.